Molecule: ribosomal RNA, 292 nt
Filed under: uncultured bacterium
Lineage: Bacteria
Description: partial 16S ribosomal RNA
Rfam family: Bacterial small subunit ribosomal RNA
Source: RNAcentral
GUGUCAGCCGCCGCGGUAAUACGUAGGGGGCAAGCGUUGUCCGGAUUUAUUGGGCGUAAAGCGCGUGUAGGCGGCCAUGUAGGUCUGACGUGAAAUUCCGAGGCUCAACCUCGGCAGGUCGUUGGAAACCAUAUGGCUAGAGUCCGGAAGAGGAGAGUGGAAUUCCUGGUGUAGCGGUGAAAUGCGCAGAUAUCAGGAAGAACACCAAUGGCGAAGGCAGCUCUCUGGGACGGUACUGACGCUGAGACGCGAAAGCGUGGGGAGCGAACAGGAUUAGAUACCCUCGUAGUCC